RNAcentral lists this unclassified non-coding RNA (683 nucleotides) under Hevea brasiliensis (rubber tree). The record is from RNAcentral. Lineage: Eukaryota; Viridiplantae; Streptophyta; Magnoliopsida; Malpighiales; Euphorbiaceae.
AGAAGAGGUUCAAAUGAUGCACAUAAGCUGGUUAAAACCCUUAAUGACAGUAGCUUGAAUUUCAAGUACUCUACACUUGAGAAGGCUACAGGAUCUUUCGAUGAUGGCAACAAGCUUGGACAAGGAGGAUUUGGAUCAGUUUAUAAGGGAGUUUUGCCAGAUGGAAGAGAGAUUGCCGUAAAGAGGCUUUUCUUUAACAACAGACAUAGAGCAGCAGAUUUCUACAAUGAAGUUAAUAUGAUAAGUAGUGUGGAACACAAAAAUCUGGUCAGGUUAUUGGGAUGCAGUUGUUCUGGACCUGAAAGCCUCCUUGUCUAUGAAUUCCUGCCUAACAAGAGUCUCGAUCGUUUCAUCUUUGAUCAAAACAAAGGCAAAGCCCUGACUUGGGAGAAGAGAUAUGACAUCAUUAUUGGAACAGCAGAAGGUUUAGUCUAUCUUCAUGAAAACUCCAAGAACAGGAUCAUUCACAGGGAUAUAAAGGCUAGCAACAUUUUAUUGGAUUCUAGGUUUCGCGCUAGAAUUGCCGAUUUUGGAUUGGCCAGGUCUUUCCAGGAAGAUGAGAGUCAUAUCAGCACAGCCAUUGCAGGAACACUUGGAUACAUGGCACCAGAGUACCUGGCUCAUGGGCAGUUAACAGAAAAGGCAGAUGUCUACAGCUUUGGUGUGCUUUUGUUGGAGAUUGU